This is a long non-coding RNA of Herpailurus yagouaroundi (jaguarundi), 805 nucleotides long. RefSeq lists it as uncharacterized. Lineage: Eukaryota; Metazoa; Chordata; Mammalia; Carnivora; Felidae. The record is from RefSeq and is a predicted model, not a curated record. The transcript has 3 exons.
CCCUGAUGACGUAAGCGGGGAAACGCCUACGUGACGUGACGGCGCCUCCGGAGGCGCAUGACGUCCGCGUGACGCAGCGGCAGGCUGCUCCGGACCUGGGACUUGACGUCAGACGUAGCACCCGCUUCCGGUGGCGGUUGCCGGGGCAACCGGGACGCGGCCAGCGUGGAGUCUGCGUCUCGGUGCGAGUGCUGACCUCAGGCGACCCCAGGAGGGAUCGGAGGACCCUACCAUCCCCGCGCUGCCAGCUGCCAGCUGCCAGCUGCCAGCUGCCGCAGCCGCAGGCCAUGCGGAGCUCCCUGCUCCCCAGCGCCUCGCUCCCGGUCUCUCCCCCAGGGGCGCAGGUUUAAAGAUCUUCCAAGCACCCGUUUCUACCUGCAGGUGGGUUGAGAACUGGAGAAACCAAAGGGUGACAUGAGAGGCAGCAGUGAGAGGCAAGUAGGAAAUACUGAACUUUGGGCCGGAAAGGGCUGAAUCCAAUCCCCAGUCCACAUCUGCCAGCUGUGUGGCCCUGGGCAAAUGGCUUAAUGCGUCUGAGCCUGUUUCCUCACCUGUGAGAUGGCUGUCGAAGUACCUGUCCUGCUGGGUUGCUGUGACAGGAGAGGGAAUGUGUGGGGAAUGGUUGGCACAUGGCAAUUCUCAGUAUACGGCCCCUAGAACAACAGCUGGAGUCACUGCUGCAGAGGUAACAGUUGCCAGAUACAGAACCGUCCUCUUCCGUGAUCCAAACCCACGCCCCCAAAACCACCAAUGACCAGCAAACACCACUCUUUAGAAGACCACCCCCGUUGUCGCGAUCGGAACA